CCUACGGGAGGCAGCAGUGGGGAAUAUUGCACAAUGGGGGAAACCCUGAUGCAGCGACGCCGCGUGAGUGAAGAAGUAUUUCGGUACGUAAAGCUCUAUCAGCAGGGAAGAAAAUGACGGUACCUGACUAAGAAGCCCCGGCUAACUACGUGCCAGCAGCCGCGGUAAUACGUAGGGGGCAAGCGUGAUCCGGAUUUACUGGGUGUAAAGGGAGCGUAGACGGCAGCGCAAGUCUGGAGUGAAAUCCCAUGGCUUAACCAUGGAACUGCUUUGGAAACUGUGCAGCGAGAGUGCAGGAGAGGUAAGCGGAAUUCCUAGUGUAGCGGUGAAAUGCGUAGAUAUUAGGAGGAACACCAGUGGCGAAGGCGGCUUACUGGACUGUAACUGACGUUGAGGCUCGAAAGCGUGGGGAGCAAACAGGAUUAGAUACCCGAGUAGUC
This 440-nucleotide ribosomal RNA is filed under the name uncultured bacterium. RNAcentral's name for it is "partial 16S ribosomal RNA". It matches the Rfam family "Bacterial small subunit ribosomal RNA", at positions 338 to 795 of the family's 1533-position model. The record is from RNAcentral.